UGCCAGUUUAUAGAAGCAAUUAGAUCUU
Molecule: non-coding RNA, 28 nt
Filed under: Homo sapiens (human)
Lineage: Eukaryota; Metazoa; Chordata; Mammalia; Primates; Hominidae
Source: RNAcentral